AUACGUAGGUGGCAAGCGUUAUCCGGAAUUGUUGGGCGUAAAGAGGGAGCAGGCGGCAGCAAGGGUCUGUGGUGAAAGCCUGAAGCUUAACUUCAGUAAGCCAUAGAAACCAGGCAGCUAGAGUGCAGGAGAGGAUCGUGGAAUUCCAUGUGUAGCGGUGAAAUGCGUAGAUAUAUGGAGGAACACCAGUGGCGAAGGCGACGAUCUGGCCUGCAACUGACGCUCAGUCCCGAAAGCGUGGGGAGCAAAUAGGAUUAGAUACCCUAGUAGUCCACGCCGUAAACGAUGAGUACUAAGUGUUGGAUGUCAAAGUUCAGUGCUGCAGUUAACGCAAUAAGUACUCCGCCUGAGUAGUACGUUCGCAAGAAUGAAACUCAAAUGAAUUGACGGGG
RNAcentral lists this ribosomal RNA (392 nucleotides) under uncultured bacterium. RNAcentral's name for it is "partial 16S ribosomal RNA". It matches the Rfam family "Bacterial small subunit ribosomal RNA", at positions 523 to 918 of the family's 1533-position model. The record is from RNAcentral.